CCUACGGGUGGCAGCAGUGGGGAAUAUUGGGCAAUGGGCGCAAGCCUGACCCAGCAACGCCGCGUGAAGGACGAAGGCUUUCGGGUUGUAAACUUCUUUUCUCAGGGACGAAGAAAGUGACGGUACCUCAGGAAUAAGCCACGGCUAACUACGUGCCAGCAGCCGCGGUAAUACGUAGGUGGCAAGCGUUAUCCGGAUUUAUUGGGUGUAAAGGGCGUGUAGGCGGGACAGCAAGUCAGAUGUGAAAACUCAGGGCUAAACCUGGAGCCUGCAGUUGAAACUGUAGUUCUUGAGUGCUGGAGAGGCAAGCGGAAUUCCGAGUGUAGCGGUGAAAUGCGUAGAUAUAAGGAGGAACACCAGUGGCGAAGGCGGAUUGCUGGACAGUAACUGACGCUGAGGCGCGAAAGCGUGGGGAGCAAACAGGAUUAGAUACCCCAGUAGUC
Molecule: ribosomal RNA, 443 nt
Filed under: uncultured bacterium
Lineage: Bacteria
Description: partial 16S ribosomal RNA
Rfam family: Bacterial small subunit ribosomal RNA
Source: RNAcentral